CACUAUGCCUAGCCAUAAACAUUGAUGGUAAACUACACCUACUAUCCGCCUGGGGACUACGAGCAUCAGCUUGAAACCCAAAGGACUUGGCGGUGCUUUAGAUCCACCUAGAGGAGCCUGUUCUAGAACCGAUUACCCCCGUUCAACCUCACCUUUCCUUGUUUUUUCCGCCUAUAUACCACCGUCGUCAGCUUACCCUAUGAAGGACUCAUAGUAAGCAAGAUUGGCACAGCCCAAAACGUCAGGUCGAGGUGUAGCGUAUGGAAAGGGAAGAAAUGGGCUACAUUCCCUAAUUACAGUGAAAUACGAACGAUAAACUGAAAUACGUAUCUGAAGGAGGAUUUAGCAGUAAGCAGAAAAUAGAGCGUUCCGCUGAAAUCGGCCCUGAAGCGCGCACACACCGCCCGUCACUCUCCCCAAGCUUAAUAACCCUUAAUUCCUAAAACCUAAAAACUGCAAAGGGGAGGCAAGUCGUAA
This 477-nucleotide ribosomal RNA is filed under the name Lutjanus bengalensis (Bengal snapper). Its description in RNAcentral is "partial small subunit ribosomal RNA". It matches the Rfam family "Bacterial small subunit ribosomal RNA", at positions 788 to 1491 of the family's 1533-position model. The record is from RNAcentral. Lineage: Eukaryota; Metazoa; Chordata; Actinopteri; Lutjaniformes; Lutjanidae.